UGAGUAAUCUGCCCUCCACUUUGGGAUAGCCACCGGAAACGGUGAUUAAUACCGGAUAUGACCUUGGCCCGCAUGGGUUGUGGUGGAAAGUUUUUCGGUGGGGGAUGUGCUCGCGGCCUAUCAGCUUGAUGGGUGGGGUGAUGGCCUACCAAGGCGACGACGGGUAGCCGGCCUGAGAGGGUGACCGGCCACACUGGGACUGAGACACGGCACAGACUCCGUACGGGAG
Molecule: ribosomal RNA, 229 nt
Filed under: uncultured bacterium
Lineage: Bacteria
Description: partial 16S ribosomal RNA
Rfam family: Bacterial small subunit ribosomal RNA
Source: RNAcentral